CAGGAUGACGGCCCUAUGGGUUGUAAACUGCUUUUAUGUGGGGAUAAAGUGCGUGACGUGUCAUGCAUUGCAGGUACCACAUGAAUAAGGACCGGCUAAUUCCGUGCCAGCAGCCGCGGUAAUACGGAAGGUCCGGGCGUUAUCCGGAUUUAUUGGGUUUAAAGGGAGCGUAGGCUGUCUAUUAAGCGUGUUGUGAAAUUUACCGGCUCAACCGGUGGCUUGCAGCGCGAACUGGUCGACUUGAGUAUGCAGGAAGUAGGCGGAAUUCAUGGU
Molecule: ribosomal RNA, 273 nt
Filed under: uncultured Prevotella sp.
Lineage: Bacteria; Pseudomonadati; Bacteroidota; Bacteroidia; Bacteroidales; Prevotellaceae
Description: partial 16S ribosomal RNA
Rfam family: Bacterial small subunit ribosomal RNA
Source: RNAcentral